This 254-nucleotide ribosomal RNA is filed under the name uncultured bacterium. RNAcentral's name for it is "partial 16S ribosomal RNA". It matches the Rfam family "Bacterial small subunit ribosomal RNA", at positions 524 to 777 of the family's 1533-position model. The record is from RNAcentral.
UACGUAGGUGGCAAGCGUUGUCCGGAAUUAUUGGGCGUAAAGCGCGCGCAGGUGGUUUCUUAAGUCUGAUGUGAAAGCCCACGGCUCAACCGUGGAGGGUCAUUGGAAACUGGGGAACUUGAGUGCAGAAGAGGAAAGUGGAAUUCCAAGUGUAGCGGUGAAAUGCGUAGAGAUUUGGAGGAACACCAGUGGCGAAGGCGACUUUCUGGUCUGUAACUGACACUGAGGCGCGAAAGCGUGGGGAGCAAACAGGG